UAUUGCUGGGUGGAUAACAGUGGGAGACAUUCCUGUUUUCAGACAAAAGCCACCCUGGAGAACAAAAACAGACGUCACCCGUCCCAGCUUCGAAGCUGAAGAAACUGAACUUGGAGGACUCUGGGACUUGCCCAAGGUCACCAGCUUGUCAGCUGAAAUGCAGAUGAGGAAACUGAGGCCCAAGGCCCCUGGCUGGUGUGUAACAGAACCAAGUCUAGACUCCUAGAGUUCCCUUAUUCUCACUUUUUUUUCUGAAUAUUCGCCAAUGUUGCUUCUCUUGACUUCACCACCGAAAUGACACA
Non-coding RNA from Microcebus murinus (gray mouse lemur), 302 nucleotides. Lineage: Eukaryota; Metazoa; Chordata; Mammalia; Primates; Cheirogaleidae. The record is from RefSeq and is a predicted model, not a curated record.